This 498-nucleotide ribosomal RNA is filed under the name uncultured bacterium. Its description in RNAcentral is "bacterial SSU rRNA". It matches the Rfam family "Bacterial small subunit ribosomal RNA", at positions 28 to 521 of the family's 1533-position model. The record is from RNAcentral.
AACGAACGCUGGCGGCGCGCUUAACACAUGCAAGUCGAACGAGAAGGCGUAGCAAUACGCUUGUACAGUGGCGAACGGGUGAGUAAUACGUGGGCGACCUACCCUCGAGUGGGGAAUAACCCGCCGAAAGGCGGGCUAAUGCCGCGUACGCUUCCAUCUUUAUGGAGGUGGAAGGAAAGCCGUGCCGUGGGCACGGCGCUCAAGGAUGGGCUCACGUCCUAUCAGCUUGUUGGAGGGUAACGGCCUACCAAGGCUCCGACGGGUAGCUGGUCUGAGAGGACGAUCAGCCACACUGGCACUGCGACACGGGCCAGACUCCUACGGGAGGCAGCAGUGAGGAAUAUUGCGCAAUGGGCGAAAGCCUGACGCAGCGACGCCGCGUGGGGGAUGAAGGUCUUCGGAUUGUAAACCCCUUUCGGGAGGGAAGAUGGGACGGGCAACCGUUCGGACGGUACCUCCAGAAGCAGCCACGGCUAACUUCGUGCCAGCAGCCGCGGU